This 465-nucleotide ribosomal RNA is filed under the name Vreelandella stevensii. RNAcentral describes it as "partial 16S ribosomal RNA". It matches the Rfam family "Bacterial small subunit ribosomal RNA", at positions 338 to 795 of the family's 1533-position model. Lineage: Bacteria; Pseudomonadati; Pseudomonadota; Gammaproteobacteria; Oceanospirillales; Halomonadaceae. The record is from RNAcentral.
CCUACGGGGGGCAGCAGUGGGGAAUAUUGGACAAUGGGGGGAACCCUGAUCCAGCCAUGCCGCGUGUGUGAAGAAGGCCCUCGGGUUGUAAAGCACUUUCAGUGAGGAAGAACGCCUGGUGGUUAAUACCCAUCAGGAAAGACAUCACUCACAGAAGAAGCACCGGCUAACUCCGUGCCAGCAGCCGCGGUAAUACGGAGGGUGCGAGCGUUAAUCGGAAUUACUGGGCGUAAAGCGCGCGUAGGUGGCUUGAUAAGCCGGUUGUGAAAGCCCCGGGCGCAACCUGGGAACGGCAUCCGGAACUGUCAAGCUAGAGUGCAGGAGAGGAAGGUAGAAUUCCCGGUGUAGCGGUGAAAUGCGUAGAGAUCGGGAGGAAUACCAGUGGCGAAGGCGGCCUUCUGGACUGACACUGACACUGAGGUGCGAAAGCGUGGGUAGCAAACAGGAUUAGAUACCCCAGUAGUC